RNAcentral lists this ribosomal RNA (253 nucleotides) under uncultured bacterium. RNAcentral describes it as "partial 16S ribosomal RNA". It matches the Rfam family "Bacterial small subunit ribosomal RNA", at positions 524 to 776 of the family's 1533-position model. The record is from RNAcentral.
UACGGGGGGGGCAAGCGUUGUUCGGAAUUACUGGGCGUAAAGGGCUCGUAGGCGGCCAACUAAGUCAGACGUGAAAUCCCUCGGCUUAACCGGGGAACUGCGUCUGAUACUGGAUGGCUAGAGGUUGGGAGAGGGAUGCGGAAUUCCAGGUGUAGCGGUGAAAUGCGUAGAUAUCUGGAGGAACACCAACGGCGAAGGCAGCACUCUGGGCCGGUAUUGACGCUGAGGAGCGAAAGCGUGGGGAGCAAACAGG